UUCAAAAGCUUGCUUUUGAAGAUGACGAGCGGCGGACGGGUGAGUAAUGGCUGGGAACCUGCCCUGACGUGGGGGAUAACAGUUGGAAACGACUGCUAAUACCGCAUGAUGUCUACGGACCAAAGAGGGGGAUCUUCGGACCUCUCGCGUCGGGAUGGGCCCAGUUGGGAUUAGCUAGUUGGUGAGGUAAUGGCUCACCAAGGCGACGAUCCCUAGCUGGUUUGAGAGGAUGAUCAGCCACACUGGAACUGAGACACGGUCCAGACUCCUACGGGAGGCAGCAGUGGGGAAUAUUGCACAAUGGGCGCAAGCCUGAUGCAGCCAUGCCGCGUGUGUGAAGAAGGCCUUCGGGUUGUAAAGCACUUUCAGCAGUGAGGAAGGUUAGUACGUUAAUAGCGUAUUAAUUUGACGUUAGCUGCAGAAGAAGCACCGGCUAACUCCGUGC
RNAcentral lists this ribosomal RNA (445 nucleotides) under Enterovibrio calviensis. RNAcentral describes it as "bacterial SSU rRNA". It matches the Rfam family "Bacterial small subunit ribosomal RNA", at positions 71 to 508 of the family's 1533-position model. Lineage: Bacteria; Pseudomonadati; Pseudomonadota; Gammaproteobacteria; Vibrionales; Vibrionaceae. The record is from RNAcentral.